Long non-coding RNA from Neopsephotus bourkii (Bourke's parrot), 1429 nucleotides. RefSeq lists it as uncharacterized. The transcript is spliced from 2 exons. The record is from RefSeq and is a predicted model, not a curated record. NCBI's taxonomy places the organism in Eukaryota, Metazoa, Chordata, Aves, Psittaciformes, Psittacidae.
CAUGCUAACGCCUUGUGUUUACUUUCCUGCUGUGCCAGGACUACUCUCUACUCACUUUAUCUUUCCUUGUACUUGCUUUUUUUAUAUCUUGUAUCCACUGCUGUGUGGCCUGACAUACACCUUUUCUGCUAUUCAGGGUUUUUUGGGGCUGAUGUUUGGCUCAGCUUUGUAGUUCAUCUUACAUGUGAUUCACAGCUUUUACAGUCAUUCUGAGGGAUGUGUGGCUGGGGGAGGCAAUUAGAUCUUGUUAGCUCUUUUUGCAUCUUUAAAGCAUAGGUCCCUGUGGUGCACAACCAAAACCAAGCAGGAGCUGUACAGCCUUCAGAAUUUUAAGAUAAUAAGAUUCCAUGCAGGGAUAAGGCACUAUAUUUGUUGAUUCUUAUCUUCCACACUUAAGAAAAUCCUCUAAGUUAGCUUCCGAGUGAACCCAAAAGAGCUGUAAUCUCUCCAUCAGGGUGUAUUUUGUAGCCGGCAUUAAACCAAGCAUUGGCAGGAUGUAAAAGCUGAUCAAAGGCGUUACCUGAAGCCAUUAGUUUUAAGUAUGAGACUGAGGAGGCGGUGGCUGCUAGGUGCCUCUGAAAGCCUUCCAGGUUCACGCAUAUAAAAAUAACUGCCACUGCACAAAGACCAAAGCUUAACCUGGAGAAAUGCCAGGGCUUGGGCUUCAAGGCAGAGGACAGAUGAGACCCGGCCACCAUGCAGUCAGUCACUGAGGCUGAAGAACUAACUAGUGAACAAUCUGUUCUGGUUGCACCAGUCAUGGAAAUGACUUGAGAAAUGGUACAAGUCCAUAGUCCAAACUGCCUUUAGCAACAUGGGAAAGAUUCUGUAGGAGGACUGGCCUUGAUACAAGUAAAUAUUUAUUAAUAACAUAUGUAGAAUUUCAAUAUACUUCUCAGAUAUAUAAUAAUGUGUAAUAAUAUAAAAUAAGAGUAAAUCAUAGUUAAACUCUUAGUUUUGACCAAGAGAUGGGAAUUCUAUGGUUUAGCACACAUUUGCACAACUGUUUUCUCUGGUUUAGGUUGUCAGUAGUAAGCAACAAUAUAAGUGGCAAAGGACUUGUAGCUCUUUCAGAGGCAAUGAAAACAAACACAGAACUUUCCUGUAUUUACAUCUGGGGGAACAAAUUUGAUGAAGCCACCUGUAUGGCAUUUUCAGAAUUAAUUCAGAUGAGCCGCCUGAAACUUAAUUGCACAGACGUGGAGCCUUAUGAAGUGGAUGGGCACAUUUACCUUGCAGAGCUCUCCCAUGGCCUGCAGAAGCAUUACUACUGGACACCAAGUUAUUGGGCCAUGACAAAAAAGGCUGCUAAUGCCAGUCUGGCAAUUGCAGGUGUUUCAGAAUACUUGUGAGUGAGGUAGCAGCUUGAAGCAUUCGGUAUGCUUGAGCUUUUCCUGUCUGGUUUCUAGUAAACAAGAUUGUAUCAAUA